Molecule: ribosomal RNA, 109 nt
Filed under: uncultured Oscillatoriales cyanobacterium
Lineage: Bacteria; Bacillati; Cyanobacteriota; Cyanophyceae; Oscillatoriales
Description: partial 16S ribosomal RNA
Rfam family: Bacterial small subunit ribosomal RNA
Source: RNAcentral
GCCGCGUGAGGGAUGAAGGCCUUUGGGUUGUAAACCUCUUUUCUCGGGAAGAAGUUCUGACGGUUCUUGAGGAAUCCACCUCGGCUAACUCCGUGCCAACCGCCGCGGU